Non-coding RNA from Mycena galopus ATCC 62051, 94 nucleotides. Lineage: Eukaryota; Fungi; Basidiomycota; Agaricomycetes; Agaricales; Mycenaceae. The record is from the annotation of a GenBank genome assembly.
GCGUCCUUGGUGUACGGUAACACACAUCCUACUGGUGUCCACUAGGAACUAAAGUCUUUAGGAUGAGACCGGGGUUCAACUCCCCGAGGACGCG